AACUAACGCUGGCGGCGUGCCUAACACAUGCAAGUCGUACGAGAAAGUUGGCUUCGGCCGAUGAGUAAAGUGGCGCACGGGUGAGUAACGCGUGGAUAAUCUGCCCUUAAGUUUGGAAUAACGUACCGAAAGGUGCGCUAAUACCGAAUAACACUGAGUGACUACUGUUGCUCAGUCAAAGAAGGCCUCUGUUUACAAGCUUUUGCUGAAGGAUGAGUCCGCGUACCAUUAGCUAGUUGGUAGGGUAAUGGCCUACCAAGGCUUCGAUGGUUAGCUGGUCUGAGAGGAUGAUCAGCCACACUGGAACUGAGACACGGUCCAGACUCCUACGGGUGGCAG
This 339-nucleotide ribosomal RNA is filed under the name uncultured Pseudomonadota bacterium. Its description in RNAcentral is "bacterial SSU rRNA". It matches the Rfam family "Bacterial small subunit ribosomal RNA", at positions 29 to 351 of the family's 1533-position model. Lineage: Bacteria; Pseudomonadati; Pseudomonadota. The record is from RNAcentral.